This 301-nucleotide ribosomal RNA is filed under the name uncultured bacterium. RNAcentral describes it as "partial 16S ribosomal RNA". It matches the Rfam family "Bacterial small subunit ribosomal RNA", at positions 509 to 807 of the family's 1533-position model. The record is from RNAcentral.
CAGCAGCCGCGGGAACACAGAGGGUGCGAGCGUUAAUCGGAUUUACUGGGCGUAAAGCGUGCGUAGGCGGCUUCUUAAGUCGGAUGUGAAAUCCCUGAGCUUAACUUAGGAAUUGCAUUCGAUACUGGGAAGCUAGAGUAUGGGAGAGGAUGGUAGAAUUCCAGGUGUAGCGGUGAAAUGCGUAGAGAUCUGGAGGAAUACCGAUGGCGAAGGCAGCCAUCUGGCCUAAUACUGACGCUGAGGUACGAAAGCAUGGGGAGCAAACAGGAUUAGAUACCCGUGUAGUCCCUGUCUCUUAUAC